Molecule: ribosomal RNA, 212 nt
Filed under: uncultured bacterium
Lineage: Bacteria
Description: partial 16S ribosomal RNA
Rfam family: Bacterial small subunit ribosomal RNA
Source: RNAcentral
CAGUUCGGAUUGAAGGCUGAAAUUCGCCUUCAUGAAGCUGGAAUUGCUAGUAAUGGCAGGUCAGCAUACUGCCGUGAAUACGUUCCCGGGUCUUGUACACACCGCCCGUCACACCAUGAGAGUUGGAAAUGCCCGAAGUCAGUGGCCCAACCGGAAGGGGGGAGCUGCCGAAGGCAGGUUCGAUGACUGGGGUGAAGUCGUAACAAGGUACC